AUUGGUAACGAUAGCUUAGGUGGUACACCUCUUCCCAUCCCGAACAGAGAAGUUAAGACCUAAUACGCCGAAGAUAGUGGAAACGCGAAAAUAGGAAGUUGCCAAUU
This 107-nucleotide ribosomal RNA is filed under the name bacterium. The record is from RNAcentral.